Molecule: ribosomal RNA, 301 nt
Filed under: uncultured bacterium
Lineage: Bacteria
Description: partial 16S ribosomal RNA
Rfam family: Bacterial small subunit ribosomal RNA
Source: RNAcentral
CAGCAGCCACGGUAAUACGGAGGGUGCAAGCGUUACUCGGAAUCACUGGGCGUAAAGGACGCGUAGGCGGAUUAUCAAGUCUCUUGUGAAAUCUAACGGCUUAACCGUUAAACUGCUUGGGAAACUGAUAAUCUAGAGUAAGGGAGAGGCAGAUGGAAUUCUUGGUAUAGGGGUAAAAUCCGUAGAGAUCAAGAAGAAUACCCAUUGCGAAAGCGAUCUGCUGGAACUUAACUGACGCUAAUGCGUGAAAGCGUGGGGAGCAAACAGGAUUAGAUACCCCUGUAGUCCCUGUCUCUUAUAC